This 486-nucleotide ribosomal RNA is filed under the name uncultured bacterium. Its description in RNAcentral is "partial 16S ribosomal RNA". It matches the Rfam family "Bacterial small subunit ribosomal RNA", at positions 30 to 507 of the family's 1533-position model. The record is from RNAcentral.
AUUGAACGCUGGCGGCAUGCCUUACACAUGCAAGUCGAACGGCAGCACGGGUGCUUGCCCCUGGUGGCGCGUGGCGAACGGGUGAGUAAUACAUCGGAACAUGUCCUGUUGUGGGGGAUAGCCCGGCGAAAGCCGGAUUAAUACCGCAUAUGCUCUACGGGUGAAUGCGGGGGCCCUUCGGCCCUCGCUCUCUGGUGUUGGUCGAUGGCUGAUUAGCUAGUUGGUGGGGUAAAGGCCUACCAAGGCGACGAUCAGUAACUGGUCUGAGAGGACGACCAGCCACACUGGGACUGAGACACGGCCCAGACUCCUACGGGAGGCAGCAGUGGGGAAUUUUGGACAAUGGGCGAAAGCCUGAUCCAGCAAUGCCGCGUGUGUGAAGAAGGCCUUCGGGUUGUAAAGCACUUUUGUCCGGAAAGAAAUCCUUGGCCCUAAUACGGUCGGGGGAUGACGGUACCGGAAGAAUAAGCACCGGCUAACUACGUG